Molecule: ribosomal RNA, 443 nt
Filed under: uncultured crenarchaeote
Lineage: Archaea; Thermoproteati; Thermoproteota
Description: bacterial SSU rRNA
Rfam family: Archaeal small subunit ribosomal RNA
Source: RNAcentral
UUCGCCCUUUUACCGGUGCGGGCCGUGAGAGCGGGAGCCCGGAGAUGGGCACUGAGACAAGGGCCCAGGCCCUACGGGGCGCAGCAGUCGCGAAACCUUUGCAAUACACGAAAGUGAGACAAGGCUAUCCCGAGUGCCAUCCGCUGAGGAAGGCUUUUACCCAGUAUAAAUAGCUGGGAGAAUAAGGAGAGGGCAAGUCUGGUGUCAGCCGCCGCGGUAAUACCAGCUCUCCGAGUAGUGUGGAUGUUUAUUGGGCCUAAAGCAUCCGUAGCUUGCUAAGCAAGUCCCCUGUUAAAUCCACCGAUUCAAUCGUUGGAUUGCGGGGGAUACUGUUUGGCUAGGGGACGGGAGAGGUCGACGGUAUUUCCGGGGUAGGGGUGAAAUCCUAUAAUCCCGGGAGGACCACCAGUGGCGAAGGCUGUCGACUAGAACGCGCCCGACGG